CAGAAGUUGCUCAAUGAGGGCGCGGUUUGUGGGGCAGCGAAGCGGAGCGCUAAUACGAGUUGGUGCUUUUUGGAAAAAAUGAGUAUUUUCUGGCUGAAAUUGAGGGACCUGAGCAAAAAUCUGAUUCAGAGGCUAAAAAAUGACUGUUAAUGCUGUUGGAUUCUGACCUCCCUACACUCGAAAUGAAAUUUUUGGAGCUACAGAAACCCAAAUAGCGCCCUCUCAAUUGCGUUGGAAAGUAGACAUCUAGGGCUUUUCAGCAAUAUAUAAUAGUUCAUACUUUAUCCGAGUUUUAAUGACGCAAACUGGCGUUCAAACGCCAACUUCCUGCCCUAUUCUGGCGUUUAACGCCAGAAACAGGUUACAAGCUAGAGUUAAACGCCAAAAAUAGGCUACAAACUGGCGUUUAACUCCAAGAGAAGUCUCUACACGUGAAAGCUUCAAUGUUCAGCCCAAGCACACACCAAGUGGACACCAAAAGUGGAUUCUACAUCAUUUACUUAUUUCUGUAACCUUAGUAACUAGUUUAGUAUAAAUAGGAUUUUUUACUAUUGUACUCAUAUCUUUUGAUCAUUUUUGAGACUAUCUUUUGAUAAUCUUUUGAUCUCUUGAUCACGUUUUGGGGGCUGGCCAUUCGGCUAUGCCUGGACCUUAAUCACUUAUGUAUUUUCAACGGUGGAGUUUUUACACACCAUAGAUUAAUAUGUGGAGCUCUGCUGUUCCUCAUGAAUUAAUGCAAA
Molecule: long non-coding RNA, 740 nt
Organism: Arachis duranensis
Lineage: Eukaryota; Viridiplantae; Streptophyta; Magnoliopsida; Fabales; Fabaceae
Exons: 2
Source: RefSeq, a predicted model, not a curated record